This 451-nucleotide ribosomal RNA is filed under the name uncultured bacterium. RNAcentral describes it as "bacterial SSU rRNA". It matches the Rfam family "Bacterial small subunit ribosomal RNA", at positions 354 to 796 of the family's 1533-position model. The record is from RNAcentral.
GUCGAGGAUCAUUCGCAAUGGGCGAAAGCCUGACGAUGCGACGCCGCGUGAACGAAGAAGGCCUUCGGGUUGUAAAGUUCUUUGAGCAGGGGCGAACGCUUUCCCGUUAAUAGCGGGUAGAGCUUGACGGUACCUGCAGAACAAGCCACGGCUAACCUCGUGCCAGCAGCCGCGGUAAUACGAGGGUGGCAAGCGUUGUUCGGAUUUACUGGGCGUAAAGGGGGUCUAGGUGGUAUGCUAAGUCUCCUGUGAAACUCCGGAGCUCAACUCCGGGACUGCAGGGGAAACUGGCGUGCUAGAGUGCGUAAGACGCAUGCGGAAUACUGGGUGUAGCGGUGAAAUGCGUAGAUAUCCAGUAGAACACCUGCGGCGAAAGCGGCCUGCGUGUACGUUACUGACACUGACGCCCGAAAGCGUGGGGAGCAAACAGGAUUAGAUACCCUGGUAGUCC